Molecule: small RNA, 107 nt
Filed under: Kosakonia cowanii
Lineage: Bacteria; Pseudomonadati; Pseudomonadota; Gammaproteobacteria; Enterobacterales; Enterobacteriaceae
Description: RtT RNA
Rfam family: RtT RNA
About the family: This family represents a bacterial cis-regulatory element known as RtT RNA. The exact function of RtT is unknown although it is thought that it may be involved in changing the cellular response in relation to amino acid starvation.
Source: RNAcentral
AUUCGAAUCUGCAGCAGGUUCGAGUCGAACGCAGUGAGACAACGGAGCCGCUCGCGGCGACGGCCCGGAGGGCGAGGCGAAGCCGAGUCAUCCUGCACGACCCACCA